CUGGGACAAACCAAAGGUCCAUCUAGCCCAGUAUCCUGUCUUCCAGCAGUGGCCAAUGCCAGGUGCCACAGAGGGAAUGAACAGAACAGCUGAAAGCAGAGACAAAGGGAGGCACCAGAGAAGCACAUGGAGCACCAGGCACAAAGGCUUUUGCAUGUAUGUGUUUCUAAGGUGCCACCCAGGGAAACCCAUAGGCAGAGGAUGACUCUGAGGUCAGAGAUGCAUGCAGCCAGGAGCUCUUUUCUACCCCGGAGGAGGCUAGCCGGUCACAGCUGUCAGAUCUUGGCGAAGCGCAAACAGGAGAGGAGGCCCCUGAAAUGACCUUGGGAACCCAGCCUCCCUCUUUAUUAUUGCUAGCUGAACGGCUGUGCAGAAUUACAAAGAGGCCACGAAGAACUAAGGAGGACUUUCUGCGUGAGGUUAUGAUGCACUCCACCACCGAGAAACAGGAAUUGAAGGAGUGGCAGGACAACGAGAAGAGGGACCGAAAGGAGAAUGCGGCGCGCCAGAAUGAAGCCAUGGAGCAGCUCUUAAACGUUAUGGAGUGCCAAGUGGUCACACUCCAGGUGAUCCUAGCACUGUAAACCAAGCAGCUCUGUGCACACUCUCCCCUGCAGCCACUGUCACAAAACUCUUUCCCACAUGCCCCCCAGACACCGCUAACACACUCUUAUCAACCUCCUGCUUCCAGUCUGUAUCCACGGCAUUCCACUCCUGCCCCAUCACAGUCCAGCCCUGCGGACUCCCAGUACCCACUGCACUCAACACCUGUCCCUCUGCAGUUUAGCCCUGUUGAAGUACGCCGCUGCAUUGUACUCCAAAGGAGAAGGUUGGAUAUGAUCCCUGGACAUACACAAAUCGUUAGCCGUCCCAGGACCCCACCUCCUCCUGGGACUUUCCCUUCCCCCUCAGUGCUGAUGUGUUUUUUUGUUUGUCUCUCUCCUCUGGUGGUUGUUUUUUAAUAAAAUAAUUGUGUUGGUUUGAAA
This is a long non-coding RNA of Caretta caretta (loggerhead turtle), 986 nucleotides long. RefSeq lists it as uncharacterized. NCBI's taxonomy places the organism in Eukaryota, Metazoa, Chordata, Testudines, Cheloniidae. The record is from RefSeq and is a predicted model, not a curated record.